Cucurbita moschata (crookneck pumpkin) is the source of this 2974-nucleotide RNA transcript. It is a transcript of the gene named xyloglucan galactosyltransferase MUR3-like, with no coding region annotated. The transcript has 3 exons. NCBI's taxonomy places the organism in Eukaryota, Viridiplantae, Streptophyta, Magnoliopsida, Cucurbitales, Cucurbitaceae. The record is from RefSeq and is a predicted model, not a curated record.
UAUUACGUUGCCAAUUCGUUCCCUUUUCUCUCGCACAGCUCAUAGAAAAGCUCUCGAGAAUCGGGGAGAAUUUCCACUCCUAAUUCUCGGAAGCAUCAUCUAGAUUACUCUUAAUUUCGAUCGGUUAUUUCGCAUCAAGCGCAGUCGAGCAAGGUAUUGGUGUUUUUUCUUGUUGAUUUUGGGAUUUCGAGAUGGAUUUGUGAGUGAUUCUUGCGAAAUGGAGACCUGGCGGUCAGCCGGAUUUUGUGGUUCCAUCCUAUGAGACGCCGGCCGUUAGUGAUUGCCCCGUCAGAGCAUAUGGAGCGAGGAGCCGGGAAGAAUCAGAACUCUCGGCUUUGUUUUCUUGUGUUAUUGUCGGCGUUCUUCUGGAUCCUAUUGUUGUACUUCCAUUUUGCGGUGCUUGGAGGUCAAUCUGAUGAUGAAUCAAUCAAAUUAAACCCCCAAGAUGGACCUGUAGACUUGCCUGUAGUCCGGAAAUUUGCCCCUUCACAGGUCGUCGAUGCACCGAAAGUCGAUGUGAUAUCAAUCCGCGUGCCUCCUCAGCCUCCUCAGCCUGUGGACCGGCAGCCUAAAUCCACCGCCGAACCUGAGAUUCAGAAAUUUUCGUUUGUUAAGGCAUUGAAAACUGUUGAAAACAAGAGCGAUCCAUGCGGUGGGAGGUAUAUAUUUGUUCACGACCUUCCUUCUAGCUUUAAUGAGGAUAUGCUGAGGGAGUGUAAGAGUCUAAGCCUUUGGACAAAUAUGUGUAAGUUCACAACUAACGCUGGGCUUGGUCCACCACUUGAAAAUGUGGAAGGAGUGUUCUCUGAUACAGGGUGGUAUGCCACAAAUCAGUUUGCCGUCGAUGUGGUUUUCAGUAAUCGAAUGAAGCAAUAUGAUUGUUUGACUAAGGAUUCUUCCAUUGCUGCUGCUUUUUUUGUGCCAUUUUAUGCUGGAUUCGAUAUCGCGAGAUACCUUUGGGGAUAUAACAUAUCCACUAGAGAUAGAGCUUCACUUGAUUUGGUCAACUGGCUCGAAAAAAGACCCGAAUGGGGCAUUAUGGGUGGUCGAGAUCAUUUCCUUGUUGCAGGUAGGAUAACGUGGGAUUUCAGAAGGCUCUCCGAGGAAGAAACGGAUUGGGGAAAUAAGCUUCUGUUUUUACCUGCUGCUAAGAACAUGUCCAUGCUUGUUGUUGAAUCAAGUCCAUGGAAUGCCAAUGAUUUUGGUAUUCCAUACCCAACAUAUUUCCAUCCUGCAAAGGAUGCUGAUGUGUUUAAUUGGCAGGAUCGGAUGAGAAAACUUGAACGGAAAUGGAUGUUUUCGUUCGCAGGUGCUCCACGCCCCGACAAUCCCAAGUCAAUAAGAGGGCAGAUUAUUGAUCAAUGUAAGAAAUCUAAGGUCUGCAAGCUGCUCGAAUGUGAUUUUGGGGAGAGCAAGUGUCAUUCUCCGAGCAGUAUAAUGCAAAUGUUUCAGAGCUCCGUUUUCUGCCUGCAACCUCAGGGCGACUCGUAUACCAGAAGAUCAGCUUUCGAUGCUAUGUUAGCCGGUUGCAUACCCGUCUUCUUCCAUCCAGGGUCAGCAUACACCCAAUAUACUUGGCAUCUCCCCAAGAAUUUCACAAGAUAUUCUGUAUUCAUCCCAGAGGAUGAUAUCCGCAAGAGAAACGUUAGCAUAGAAGAAAGGCUUGCUCAAAUUUCUCCUGGGCAGUUGAAACUAAGGCAGGAGGAGGUAAUCAAUCUGAUUCCAAUAUUGGUAUACGCUGAUCCGCGCUCGAAGUUGGAAACUUUGAAGGAUGCUUUCGAUGUCUCAGUGCAAGCUAUUAUCGACAAGGUUACGAAGUUGAGGAAGGAUAUCAUUGAAGGACACACCGACGAUAAUUUCAUCGAGGAAAAUAGUUGGAAAUAUGCGUUACUGGAAGAUGGGCAGCGGGAAGUCGGACCUCAUGAAUGGGAUCCUUUCUUCUCCAAACCGAAGGACGGGGAUUCCAACGACGCAUCAGCCGAAGCUGCAAAAAAGUCAUGGAAAAAUGAGCAGAGAGACAAAUCGUGAAAUUCAUCGGCUGCAGUUCAUUGGUGAUUCCUAAUGAUUUCUACAGAUAAGCUCAAUAGAAGCAUAACGAAGAGCUUCCAGCAUCGAACCCGGGACGUUUUAUAGAUUGAAAGCUCAAUCAUCAACCAGCCAAAGGGCUGUCCUUCAAAAACAAAGCACAUAUGAAAUAAAUUACCUGUUCUAAGAGCCUGUUUGUUAGGAUCCCUUGCGGUCAUUCCAAAUCGGUUCCAAAUCGGUUCCAAAUCACAACAUUAAAGUAAGAAUACCUUUAUAAUGGAUUUUUCAUACAAUCAUUUUCAACUUAUGAGAAAUAGUUUUAUCAGUGGUUUCUCCCCCUCCUCUCAAGGGAAGGGCAGGGCAGGGCAGAGCAGGGCAGGUUCUUACGUGAUAUUCAGACGGGUUUCAGCUGUUGUUCCCCUCCUCUCAAGCGCAGGGCAGGUUCCUACGUGAUGAUAUUCACCCGUCCGCCCUCCUGGAAACAUGACUUUCAAUUCGGCAACAUGCUCCUUCUUUCAAGGGCAAGUUCUUAUGUGAUAUUCACCUAUUCGCCAUUCACCGAUCCGCCACGGAAAAUAUCACCAGCCAUUUGACGACAUGUCGAUUUAUAAUGGAAGUUUGUUGUUCUCCUCUCAAGGGCAUGGAAGGUUGAGAACAAUGUGAUAUUCACCUAUUCGCCAUUCACCUAUCCGCCACGGGAAAUAUCACCAGCCAUUCGACGACAUGUCGAUUUAUAAUGGAAGUUUGUUGUUCUCCUUCCCUCAAGGGCAUGGAAGGUUGUUGUUGUUCUCCUUCUCUCAAGGGCAAGUUCUUACGCGAUAUUCACUCACCUAUCUCCCACGAGAAACAUCAUCAUCCAUUCGGCAAUUUGUUGCUGAUUCCUAGUGCUAAUUUAUAAUUGAAGUUCGUUGUCAUUUCCCUUCCCUCAAGGACAAGUUCUUACGUGAUA